AACACGUGGGGAACCUGCCCCAUAGUCUGGGAUACCACUUGGAAACAGGUGCUAAUACCGGAUAAGAAAGCGGAUCGCAUGAUCAGCUUUUAAAAGGCGGCGUAAGCUGUCGCUAUGGGAUGGCCCCGCGGUGCAUUAGCUAGUUGGUAAGGUAAAGGCUUACCAAGGCGAUGAUGCAUAGCCGAGUUGAGAGACUGAUCGGCCACAUUGGGACUGAGACACGGCCCAAACUCUACGGGAGGCAGCAGC
RNAcentral lists this ribosomal RNA (249 nucleotides) under uncultured Lactobacillus sp. RNAcentral describes it as "partial 16S ribosomal RNA". It matches the Rfam family "Bacterial small subunit ribosomal RNA", at positions 112 to 355 of the family's 1533-position model. The record is from RNAcentral. Lineage: Bacteria; Bacillati; Bacillota; Bacilli; Lactobacillales; Lactobacillaceae.